This is a long non-coding RNA of Mesocricetus auratus (golden hamster), 3812 nucleotides long. RefSeq lists it as uncharacterized. Lineage: Eukaryota; Metazoa; Chordata; Mammalia; Rodentia; Cricetidae. The record is from RefSeq and is a predicted model, not a curated record. The transcript has 2 exons.
UUUCACAUACCUGUUUGUCAGCACCAGAAGACACCAGAACCCUCCACACCACCCUCUCAAGGCUCGGCACUCUAGGCUCUUUCCUCUCUCUCCCCUGUGGCUGUGGCUCACGUAGUUCCUUGACCCAGGCUCUCACUUCCUGUGGAUUUUCCUCCCCUGGGUGUGACCCAUCCCUCUUACAUUGUCCUAGUGCCUGCUAACAGGAGCAAACGGGACAUGACGGCUGCCCGGUGAGCCUGUGGCCUGCGGGUCUUGGACAGUCACGGCAGAGAGGCAGCUCGGAUGAUAAAGACCUCAGAUGUAACCUAGGAGGCCCACCGGAGGCACAUGGAGACAUACAGCUGUGGCCAGAAACCAAGAUCUGGGUCCUGAAGCCGCCACUUGACACUGGGUGAACUUUGUUUCCCUCAUGUGCAAGCCUUAGCCACCUUUGGCAAUUUUGUUCUGGAAGGAAAGGGAAGCAGAGUGGGAAAGUAUCCAGGGGACCCAGGGCAUGCUGGGCUCUGCACAGCUUUGCCACACCCAGGGGAAAUCGCCCGUGGAUAGAGUCUGGCCACCCACUGCUUCAGCUGAGCCCUGCCACGGGUGUGCGUGACUUACAAGGCCAGGGAAGGAAGAUACCCAUCGUUCAUAAACUUCGAACACGGGCCAAGGCGGUGCUUGAGCUGGGAAGAGAGAGACAGGACGCAGCCCAGCCAUCCGCACCCCUCCCGGGAGCCCUCCCCUGGCCUCAGUGCCUCUCACUGGCUUCCAUGGUCACUUUCCUCGCUUAACUGUCUUGUGUUUCUUCCGUCUGUCUUCCGUCACAUGCACCCAAGCAGGAGGGUGGCAUCGCCCUCUUCUGCCUCCAUUCUAGUCUUAGGCUGUGCCGAGGCACCUGGGCAGCUGACUCACAGCCAGAAAGGGCAGCCAUGGAUACUGGAUCCCAAUGAUGAUGCCAAGCCCCUGCCUGGGUGAGGCUUAGCAGAGCUGGCACUGAGGGGGGAGCACUUUCAGGGAGAGGGACGAGCCAAAGGCGUGGGGGACAGGCACAGCCCAGGCUAGAAAGGUCAGUGAGAGGCCAAGCAUGGGGAGAUGGGGUCAGACCCCCAGAGCAGGUCUGGAAUCUGAACUGGCGCCUGGGCCUGAGACGGAGGCUCCUUCCCGUCACAUUCGGACACCAACCUGUCCCCGCUUGUCAGCGCCUCCGGGCACACUGCAGCACUUGAAUUUAGCUGCACUGGUUGACGGAGUCUCUAGGGGUUGUCCACUGCCGGGAUGCCCUGGAUAACCAGCCACUCUGCAGGCUACAGGGCACCCUGGACCUCAGCUGUGUUCCCACACACUUCGGAUGAGUGGUCAGAAUGGACCCAGAGGUGAGAAACUGAGGAGCACAUGGAUAGGCCUGACAGAGACUCAGAGUCCUCCCCGCCGCCUCCUUUGCCAGGCUCCUCCCAGUGCUGGCGGGAAGCCUGGUGCUGGCCUCCCACAUGCUCAAAUAUUCCAACACUGCUGAACGUCCCUGUAAGCUGGCCCUGGCUGCGGUGUUGCUGGAUCCCUAAUCUUCCGGGGUUAAGCUGCUGCAAUGCUGCAGGUGUUGGAGAUGUCUUUGGCAGUCACCACAGAUCACUGCCACCCAUCCGGGAUCCUCUUGCCGCCACUUCCAGAUUUCCAAUGUGGUAUUCUGUGGCCUGGUGACCCGUGGUGCUUUAGGCUUCCACAGCUCCCCCUUCGCUCCUCUGCUGGGGACUCCAACUGAGGCACUUUCCAUCCUCCCCACACUGGGAACAUUCUCAGUGCUCACAACAUUUUUUUAUUAACCCAAGGGAGGGGGUGCUUAUGGCACAUGAUGGGUAGAGGCCAGGAUGCUGCCGGGUGUGCAAGAACCCCCAACCAUGGGGAAUUCUCUGCCCCGAUGUCAAGCACGGCACCCAGGAGCGAGCCUGCUUCCAGUCCUGCUGGUUUUGUGGCUCAUUCCUGCAGUGGCUCCCUUGUUUGCCCACAGCUGGAUAAACGAUAAAGAUUGAGGAAGCAGCUCCUAGCUACACUUCCGCCUUCAGUCACCAGCUCACCUGUGAGGAAGGCAGCCCAGAGAGGGAGGGGACCUCAGUUCUCAGAGAGCUGCAGGUCUCAGCUUCAAGAGAGAUGCCAAGGACCAAUGACUCGACUCAAGCGCCCUCUGGAGAUGGCUUGUGGGUUUCUCUAGAGCAGUGGUUCUCACCUUCCUAGCACUGCGGCCCUUUCGUUCAGUUCCUCAUAUUGUGGUGACCCCCAACCGUAGAAUUACUUCACUUUUAAUUCAUAAAUGUAAUGUUGCUACCGUUCGAAGUUGUAAUGUGAGUAUCUGAUACGCAGCAUAUCUGAUAGAGAACCACUGCUUUGGAGGAAACCCCCAGCCCAGAGCCAGGCCUGUGACAUGGUGAGGACAAGUCACUCUGGGCCUCCCUCCCGUUACUCAUUCCACAGCCUGGCAGCAGGCCAGGAAAGGCGUCCCCAAAUGGGAGUUCCCAACCCAUGUGCCAUCAUCAUUUCCAUUAACCGUGGGGAGGGUGGAAGCAUGCACUCCGCCCAACCCCUCCUCGUCAACAAAAGGCCUCCAGGCUCUUGUGCCAAAGACCCCACCCCACCCCAGUUCAUUCCAGUCUUUCUCUCUCCUGCUGAGGGAAGGCCCUGCAGAGAGGAGGGAAACGAGGCUGCAGGGCUUUCCUCACCUGGAGUCUGUCUGGUCUCAGGAAGCCUGCAAAGCCCCUUCCUUCCUCAGUUGUCCUGGAAUAAUGGGGCAUAUCUAUCUGCUCCAGGGCUUUCCUCACCUGGAGUCUGUCUGGUCACGGGAAGCCUGCAAAGCCCCUUCCUUCCUCAGUUGUCCUGGAAUAAUGGGACAUAUCUAUCUGCUCCAGGGCUUUCCUCACCUGGAGUCUGUCUGGUCACGGGGAAGCCUGUAAAGCCCCUCAGUUGUCCUGGAAUAAUGGGGCAUAUCUGCUCCAGGUUUCCUUUACCUUGUUGCCUGCAGCCCUGCCCCUCUUAGGCCGUCCCCACGGUCACAGGUGUAGGAUUGUUUUCUCCUGGUACCCAGGCACAGUGGCUGCUUUCCCAUCCUCCUCCGCCCCAGGCCUCUUGCCAUCAGGCAGCCCAACCCCCCUUCUCCAGUUCAUUGCCUCCUUCCUACACCCUCAGAAGGGAGAGGUGGAGAGAGGAGCCCUUGCUUCUCCCGGGUCCCUGCUCUUCAGCAACAACCCCCUCCCUUCAUCCCCUUCUGUAGGACCCGGAGGGAUGGAAGGGAACUCAGCUGAGACAACACCAUGUAGGAGAAACACCUGAGUGAAGGUUGGCCUGACGGGGACUACCGCCAGUUUUCCACUGAUCUUCAGAGGGAUGGAGGAACCCCCAGAGACUCUGGUCUCAGGAACACCUCAGUCAGGCGUCUCAAGAUGCUGUAUUGUGUGGGGAAAGGAAAAGGAUUCAGAUGUCCUCACAGUUCCCAUUUCACAGACGGGUAGUUGGAAACUGCUGACUGACAUUCCCAGAGUAUUGGAGGCAAGCACCAGAGCCCUAGCCGUGUGGCACAGGAGCCCAGUCUGUGUGGCACUAAUGGGUCUCUGGUUUGGGAAGAAAGCAGCAGGAAUCACGACUCCAAUGUGCUGGAGCAGGGGAACCUCCAGCUCUCCCCUGUACUACCUUCUUGGUCACAACCCUCUCUGACGCCAUGGCCACCAUGCUAAGUGCUAAGGCUGGCCCCGUCCAGGCAUGAGAGAUGGACAGUGCAACCUCAUCCGAGCAUCCUCCCCUCAGGCCCCCUGCCCCCAGAGAUUUUAUUAAACCUUUACCAUGCCUCA